UAGGGAAUCUUCCGCAAUGGGCGAAAGCUUGACGGAGCAACGCCGCGUGAGUGAUGAAGGUCUUCGGAUCGUAAAACUCUGUUAUUAGGGAAGAACAAAUGUGUAAGUAACUAUGCACGUCUUGACGGUACCUAAUCAGAAAGCCACGGCUAACUACGUGCCAGCAGCCGCGGUAAUACGUAGGUGGCAAGCGUUAUCCGGAAUUAUUGGGCGUAAAGCGCGCGUAGGCGGUUUUUUAAGUCUGAUGUGAAAGCCCACGGCUCAACCGUGGAGGGUCAUUGGAAACUGGAAAACUUGAGUGCAGAAGAGGAAAGUGGAAUUCCAUGUGUAGCGGUGAAAUGCGCAGAGAUAUGGAGGAACACCAGUGGCGAAGGCGACUUUCUGGUCUGUAACUGACGCUGAUGUGCGAAGCGUGGGGAUCAAACAGG
Molecule: ribosomal RNA, 428 nt
Filed under: Actinomycetes bacterium
Lineage: Bacteria; Bacillati; Actinomycetota; Actinomycetes
Description: Actinobacteria bacterium partial 16S ribosomal RNA
Rfam family: Bacterial small subunit ribosomal RNA
Source: RNAcentral